This is a long non-coding RNA of Salvelinus namaycush (lake trout), 3309 nucleotides long. RefSeq lists it as uncharacterized. Lineage: Eukaryota; Metazoa; Chordata; Actinopteri; Salmoniformes; Salmonidae. The record is from RefSeq and is a predicted model, not a curated record. The transcript has 10 exons.
GACAAUGCAAAUAGUCUGGGUAGCCAUUUGACUAGAUGUUCAGGAGUCUUAUGGCUUGGGGGUAGAAGCUGUUUAGAAGCCUCCUGGACCUAGCCUUGGCGCUCCGUCACCGCUUGCCGUGUGGCAGCAGAGAGAACACUCCUUCAGAAUUGACUGUCAUUCGUUCUUUGUGUCAUCGUUUCAAUUUCUAUUGCAGGCCAACUGUACUACUGGCAUUGCCUGGGUGGGGUUGUGCUACACAGAAAUAAAUCAUGACUGACUGACUCGCACUCUUGUGACAAUGUAGUUCAGGAGGGCACAAAUGAAAUGUCAUUCAGGAGGGUACAUUUGGAUGCUUUUCUCAACCUCGGUCAGUGACAGGUUGUACAGGUUAUGACUUCAAUCCACAUGCUGAUAGCCUACUACGGUUCGGUUGUGAACUACGAGACCAUACUGCCAGGUCUUUCAUUCUGCUGUGUGUUUUAGAAGAAAUGGAAACAGAAGUCGUCUCCUAUAAAAGCUUUUAUCGGAGCAAUAUGACAUCUUGGGUUCAAUUCUUUGUUGCACACAGAAUGGUUUAUUCUUUUUCAUUAUAACCAUACUGUAUCAUUGUGUUUCACCAUGUCAAAUCUUUGUAAGCUUACUCUGUCUGCAGCUCCACUAAAACAUGAAGCUCUUGCAGUUUCCAUGGCGAUGGAUUACAUUUGAAUGAUUGACAGGUGCAACACCCCCCUGUUUGACUACCUAUCAUUCUUUUCCCAAGAGAAGCUGUGUGGACAACACUUCUAUUAAACUCGAUGUGAACCCUUGAAUCCCGAGGAAAGUAAUACCGUUAAAACAUAUAUCAUCAAGCUUCAGAUGAGAUUAAAUUACUAUUAAAUAUGAAUAAAUGUUAAAUAUCUACUGCAUAUCAGAAGAGGGAAGGAAAAGAGUACAAUAGUACAGCCCAUAGUUUAACUUAAGUGCAAAUGGAGGGACAGAAUAACUGCCUAUACUGUAUAUAAUAAGUCUAGCAGAGACCAUAAAUAAAGACAUGGUUUAUAUAACGGGCUCUGCAAGAGGGGUGAACUGGAGGUCAAAGGUCACCCAGGGGUAUUUUUUUUGACCCCUAUCAAAGAAACCUGUUUCAAUGGAAGUUCAGUUCAAAACAUUAGAAUAACCAACAAACUCCAACACAACAGGUUCAUUAUUUUUCCCUCAUGGUCCCCUAGUAUCAUUAUUGCAGCCAUAUCUGUUUUUCCACACAACCAGGCCAUACACCAUCCACGCAGGGUAAGCAAAAACAAGUGUAAUAUUCCUGACUUAACUGAAUUAUGUCCUCUCUCUAACCAGGCCCAGAUAAGACUCCUCAGACACCUAUUUCUAAAGGCCUACUGUCUCACUGACUUGUAGCGUCAACAGCACACCUGUCUGUCCAUCUCGACUGGGAUAAAGUGAUUGAUUGGGACUUUGCUCUCCUCCUCCCCACCUGCAAGAGUCUAUCUGUGUUUUGUCUUCGUUCAAAUUCUGCUGUCAGAAGAUACUUGGACAAAAGGGAAUACUCCGUGACAGAGGAAGUUAAGGGGGAAACCAGAGGACUUUCUAUGAACAGAGGAUCUCAACCGGAUUAAUAACGGAAGAAUGACCCCUCUCUAACUCAUACAAAGACUCAGACACUUUGGACACAGAUUCAUCAAGUAUUUGGGUUACCAUAUUUGGACAUCCUGAAAACUGAUGUACAGACCUGCAGUAGACUGACGUUGAAGGAGAGGAACAUUUUUCCACAAGUUGAAGCUACAUCAAGUGGGAUAUUACUGCUGAUCAUCGAGGAUCAACCUGAAGCCAGUUUCUGUUGAGACAUAAGACUUUUAAGUCAUAAGGUCACAACACAUCAGAGCACAGGGAGAGAGUUGGUAUCAGACAAGGUUGAAGGAAGUAUCAGAGGUGACCUCUACACAGACGGGGACUCUAGCGGGUCACACAGGCCCAACUAUGGAGGAGAGAAGGCGUGUGGGCUAUCGCACACACAGAGAGGAGCUGGAUAAAGGAAAAAAAGUUCCCUGUCUCUGAAAAACUCAGAGAGUCAAUGAGGUACAUAUGCAGUGAUGAUAGCCGGCGUGACAGAUCGCUUGGCUACAGAUUCUAACUUCACGAUGUGGGACAAGUCGCGGAGUCGCGGAGCGGGUAAAAGUGGCAGCGGCCGUGACUUUCAUGUUCGGCCUCUUUCAGACAGUGAUAGAGGUGCGCUAUCUAUUGCCAGAAACCAACAUAGGUACCCUGGUGGUGAGCCUGGUGUCAAUCGUUGGCCUCAUCAUCGUCAAGGAGCUCAACACCUAGCUGGGGAAAAAACUGUCAGUACCCAUUCCCUGUAGAGCUGCUAGCGUCAUUGACGCCUGUCUGUCGGUCGGUCGUCAGAUCAUCAACGUCACGGUGUUCUCCUGGCAGGUCAACCUUGAGGAUGAGUAUGAAGUGGAAGUGGUGGGAGAGAUCCCCUCUUGUCUACAGCCCCCUUGUCCUGCCUACAGCCUCUCUGUUUGGUCAGGUUAUAAAUGAUGCCCUCGCUCUGUCUGUGGUUGGCUGCGGCAUUGCCAUCUCUCUCGGACAAAUCUUUGCCCUAAAAUAUGGCUACAAUGUUGACAGCAACCAGGUGAGAAACACUGUCAAUGACUGUGUGAUUGGAAAUCCUUCUGGGUACCCUGGUGGUGAGCCUGGUGUCAAUCGUUGGCCUCAUCGUCAAGGAGCUCAACACCCAGCUGGGAAAAAAACUGUCAGUACCCAUUCCCUGUAGAGCUGCUGGCGGUCAACCUUGAGGGGGAGUAUGAAGUGGAAGUGGUGGGAGAGAUCCCCUCUUGUUUCAGGCCAAAGUACUCCUCUUCUAGGGCAGGCCCCUGAGACUGACAUCUACAGACCAGUGGAGGAUUAUAAUCAGCGUGGGAUUGACGUCACUAAAUGAAUCUCCCGAAAGAAGAAAGCGGAGGCCAAGAGAUUGAGGAAGGAAAGAAAGAGGCCAGGAAAGCCAAAAGAAAAAAGGAAAAAGAAGAACGCCCAGGAACUGGAGCAGUCUCCCUCGCUCUGACCCCGACAUUUGACCUCUCUCUGGUGCUGUUUCAGAUCCAAAGGGACUACGGUGAUAUCGGUGGGGAGGUAGUGGAUGUCAGAGUGAGGGUUACAUUUUCAAUUUACUAUUAUCAAAACCUUCAUGCUGAACAUGCAGCACAGUAACGACAGGGCCCAGAUGGACAGUGAUGACGAGGUGAAACACACACGAGCACGACACGUGCACACACACGGAUGCCCCCAUUCUCAUCGACGGGGCUGCAGUGGAGCAGGUUGAGAGCUUCAAGUUCCUUG